UUGAACGCUGGCGGCAUGCUUUACACAUGCAAGUCGAGCGGCAGCGCGGGGCAACCUGGCGGCGAGCGGCGAACGGGUGAGUAAUAUAUCGGAACGUACCCUGUCGUGGGGGAUAACACAUCGAAAGAUGUGCUAAUACCGCAUACGACCUGAGGGUGAAAGCAGGGGAUCUUCGGACCUUGUGCGAAUGGAGCGGCCGAUGUCAGAUUAGCUAGUUGGUGGGGUAAAGGCCCACCAAGGCGACGAUCUGUAGCGGGUCUGCGAGGAUGAUCCGCCACACUGGGACUGAGACACGGCCCAGACUCCUACGGGAGGCAGCAGGGGGGAAUUUUGGACAAUGGGCGCAAGCCUGAUCCAGCCAUGCCGCGUGCGGGACGAAGGCCUUCGGGUUGUAAACCGCUUUCAGCCGGAAAGAAAUCGUCAAGGCUAAUAUCCUUGAUGGAUGACGGUACCGGAAGAAGAAGCACCGGCUAACUACGU
Molecule: ribosomal RNA, 480 nt
Filed under: uncultured bacterium
Lineage: Bacteria
Description: bacterial SSU rRNA
Rfam family: Bacterial small subunit ribosomal RNA
Source: RNAcentral